GUGAAAACUGGCCUUAUGAGGUUACUGCUGGAUCAAAUAGAGACUUAAACAGCAAUGUUACUGUAGCAGAGAAUGGGGAAACUCAGGGAAUACUUUGGAUCUACCCGAUUAAUGGAACGCCUGAAGCACCACAGCAGAAAUCAGUUGUGAUUCGCUGUCGAGCCAGGCAGAGACUGGA
Molecule: long non-coding RNA, 178 nt
Organism: Poecile atricapillus (Black-capped chickadee)
Lineage: Eukaryota; Metazoa; Chordata; Aves; Passeriformes; Paridae
Exons: 3
Source: RefSeq, a predicted model, not a curated record